AAAUUGAAGAGUUUGAUCAUGGCUCAGAUUGAACGCUGGCGGCAGGCCUAACACAUGCAAGUCGAACGGUAACAGGAAGCAGCUUGCUGCUUUGCUGACGAGUGGCGGACGGGUGAGUAAUGUCUGGGAAACUGCCUGAUGGAGGGGGAUAACUACUGGAAACGGUAGCUAAUACCGCAUAAUGUCGCAAGACCAAAGAGGGGGACCUUCGGGCCUCUUGCCAUCGGAUGUGCCCAGAUGGGAUUAGCUUGUUGGUGGGGUAACGGCUCACCAAGGCGACGAUCCCUAGCUGGUCUGAGAGGAUGACCAGCCACACUGGAACUGAGACACGGUCCAGACUCCUACGGGAGGCAGCAGUGGGGAAUAUUGCACAAUGGGCGCAAGCCUGAUGCAGCCAUGC
This 400-nucleotide ribosomal RNA is filed under the name Escherichia coli. RNAcentral describes it as "bacterial SSU rRNA". It matches the Rfam family "Bacterial small subunit ribosomal RNA", at positions 1 to 397 of the family's 1533-position model. The record is from RNAcentral. Lineage: Bacteria; Pseudomonadati; Pseudomonadota; Gammaproteobacteria; Enterobacterales; Enterobacteriaceae.